This is a non-coding RNA of Danio rerio (zebrafish), 72 nucleotides long. The record is from Rfam. Lineage: Eukaryota; Metazoa; Chordata; Actinopteri; Cypriniformes; Danionidae.
GGUUCCAUAGUGUAAUGGUUAGCACUCUGGACUUUGAAUCCAGUGAUCCGAGUUCAAAGCUCUGCGGAACCU